CCUACGGGUGGCAGCAGUGAGGAAUAUUGGUCAAUGGGCGGGAGCCUGAACCAGCCAAGCCGCGUGAGGGAAGAAGGUACAGCGUAUCGUAAACCUCUUUUGUCAGGGAACAAAGGCGGGGACUAGUCCCCGGAUGAGGGUACCUUAAGAAAAAGCAUCGGCUAACUCCGUGCCAGCAGCCGCGGUAAUACGGAGGAUGCGAGCGUUAUCCGGAUUUAUUGGGUUUAAAGGGGGCGCAGGCGGCCUGUUAAGUCAGCGGGAAAAGCCCGGGGCUAAACCCCGGCGAGCCGUUGAAACUGGCGGGCUGGAGUUGGAGAGAGGUACGCGGAAUGCGCGGUGUAGCGGUGAAAUGCUUAGAUAUCGCGCAGAACCCCGAUUGCGAAGGCAGCGUACCGGCUCCACACUGACGCUGAGGCACGAAAGCGUGGGUAUCGAACAGGAUUAGAUACCCGAGUAGUC
Molecule: ribosomal RNA, 459 nt
Filed under: uncultured bacterium
Lineage: Bacteria
Description: partial 16S ribosomal RNA
Rfam family: Bacterial small subunit ribosomal RNA
Source: RNAcentral